This is a long non-coding RNA of Gallus gallus (chicken), 2708 nucleotides long. The record is from Ensembl. NCBI's taxonomy places the organism in Eukaryota, Metazoa, Chordata, Aves, Galliformes, Phasianidae.
GGAAGUGCAGAAUUUUUGGGAGACAGGUGGUAUUUUUGGAUGAAAAUGCAUGAUUUUCGAGAGAAAAGUGGUAUUUCUCGAGAGAAAAUGCGUGAUUUUUGGGGUGAAAGGGGUAUAUUUGGGGGAGAAAUGUGUUAUUUCCAGCGAAAAGUGGUAUUUUCAAGAAGGAAGUGCAGAAUUUUUGGGAGACAGGUGGUAUUUUUUGGAUGAAAAUGCAUGAUUUUCGAGAGAAAAGUGGUAUAUUUGGGGUAGAAAUGCGUUAUUACCCAGCGACAAGUGGUGUUUUUCGCGCAGAAAAUGCGUGAUUUUCGUGAGAAAAGUGGUAUUUCUCGAGAGAAAAUGCGUGAUUUUGGGGUGAAAGGUGGUAUAUUUGGGGUAGAAAUGUGUUAUUUCCCAGCGAAAAGUGGUAUUUUCAGGAAGGAAGUGCAGAAUUUUUGGGAGACAGGUGGUAUUUUCGGGGUGAAAAUGCAUGAUUUUCGAGAGAAAAGUGGUAUUUCUCGAGAGAAAAUGCGUGAUUUUGGGGUGAAAGGUGGUAUAUUUGGGGUAGAUGUGUUUUUCUCCAGCAAAAAGUGGUAUUUUCGGGUAGAAAAUGUGUGAUGUUUGGACAGAGGUGCUAUUUUUCGAGGGGGAAAGGCGUGAUUUUCAAACAAAAACUUGUAGUUUCGGAGUGACAAUGCAUGGUUUUCGUUAGCAAAGUCGUAUUUUCCUAAAGAAAAUGCGUGAUUUUCUUGUGAAAGGUGGUAUUUUCGGGGUGAAAAUGCAUGAUUUUCGAAAAAAAUGUGGUAUUUCUCAAGAGAAAAUGCGUGAUUUUGGGGUGAAAGGUGGUAUAUUUGGGGGAGAAAUGUGUCAUUUCCCAGCCAAAAGUGGUAUUUUCGGGUAGAAAAUGCGUGAUGUUUGGACAGAGGUGCGUUUUUUCAGGGGAAAUGCGUGAUUUUUGGGUGAAAAGGGGCAUUUACGGUAAGGAAAUGCAUUAUUUUCUGGCGACAUGGGGAAUUUACGAAGGGAAAAUGCGUGAUUUUCGGGCAAAAACUUGUAUUUUCGGAGUGACAGUGCAUGGUUUCCGUUAGAAAAGUUGUAUUUUCCAGAAGAAAAAGACUGAUUUUGGGGUGAAAUGGGGUUGUUUCGCGCAGAAAAUGCGUGAUUUUCGUGUGCAAGGUGGUACUUUCGGGAAGAAAAUGUGUGAUUUCCGUGAGAAAAGUGGUAGUUCUGGAGAGAAAACGCGUGAUUUUGGGGUGAAUGGUGCUAUUUUCUUGGCGAAAACGUGAUAUUUCUGUUUGAGAAGUGGUAUUUUCUGGAGGAAAAAGCGUAAUUUUCGACUGAAAGGUGGUACUUUCGGGGUGAAAAUGCGUGCUUUGUGAGUGAAGCGUGUUAUAUUUGGGGUAGAAAUGUGUUAUUUCCCAGCGAAAAGUGGUAUUUUCAGGAAGGAAGUGCAGAAUUUUUGGGAGACAGGUGGUAUUUUCGGAUGAAAAUGCAUGAUUUUCGAAAAAAAUGUGGUAUUUCUCAAGAGAAAAUGCGUGAUUUUGGGGUGAAAGGUGGUAUAUUUGGGGGAGAAAUGUGUUAUUUUCCAGCAAAAAGUGGUGUUUUUGGGAAGGAAGUGCAGAAUUUUUGAGAGACAGGUGGUAUUUUCGGGGUGAAAAUGCAUGGUUUUCGAAACAAAUGAGGUAUUUCUCGAGAGAAAAUGCGUGAUUUUGAGGUGAAAGGUGGUAUAUUUGGGGGAGAAUUGUGUUAUUUCCCAACGACAAGUGGUAUUUUUGGGUAGAUAAUGCGUGAUGUUUGGACAGAGGUGCUAUUUUUCGAGGGGGAAACUGCGUGAUUUUCAGGCGAAAACUUGUAUUUUCGGAGUGACAAAGCAUGGUUUUUGUUAGAAAAGUCAUAUUUUCCUAAAGAAAAUGCGUGAUUUUUGUGUGCAGGUUGGCAUUUUUGGGAAGAAAAUGCAUGAUUUUCGGGGGAAACGUGGUAUAUUUGGGGUAGAAAUGCGUUAUUACCCAGCGACAACUGGUGUUUUCGCGCAGAAAAUGCAUGAUUUUCGGGGGAAAAGUGGUAUUUCUCGAGAGAAAAUGAGUGAUUUUGUGGUGAAAGGUGGUAUAUUUGGGGGAGAAAUGUGUUAUUUCCCAGCCAAAAGUGGUAUUUUCGGGUAGAAAAUGCGUGAUGUUUGGACAGAGGUGCGUUUUUUCGGGGGGAAAUGUGUGAUUUUUGGGUGAAAAGGGGCAUUUACGGUAAGGAAAUGCAUUAUUUUCUGGCGACAUGGGGAAUUUACGAAGGGAAAAUGCGUGAUUUUCGGGCAAAAACUUGUAUUUUCGGAGUGACAAUGCAUGGAUUUCGUUAGAAAAGUUUUAUUUUCCGGAAGAAAAAGACAGAUUUUGGGGUGAAAUGGGGUUGUUUCGCGCAGAAAAUGCGUGAUUUUCGUGUGCAAGGUGGUACUUUCGGGAAGAAAAUGUGUGAUUUCCGUGAGAAAAGUGGUAGUUCUGGAGAGAAAACGCGUGAUUUUGGGGUGAAUGGUGCUAUUUUCUUGGCGAAAACGUGAUAUUUCUGUUUGAGAAGUGGUAUUUUCUGGAGGAAAAAGCGUAAUUUUUGGCUGAAAGGUGGUACUUUCGGGGUGAAAAUGCGUGCUUUGUGAGUGAAGCGUGUUAUAUUUGGGGUAGAAAUGUGUUAUUUCCCAGCGAAAAGUGGUUUUUUCGGGAAGGAAGUGCAGAAUUUUUGGGAGACAG